UACGGGAGGCAGCAGUGAGGAAUAUUGGUCAAUGGGCGCGAGCCUGAACCAGCCAAGUAGCGUGCAGGAAGACGGCCCUAUGGGUUGUAAACUGCUUUUAUACAGGGAUAAAGUGCGCCACGUGUGGUGUAUUGCAGGUACUGCAUGAAUAAGGACCGGCUAAUUCCGUGCCAGCAGCCGCGGUAAU
This 187-nucleotide ribosomal RNA is filed under the name uncultured rumen bacterium. Its description in RNAcentral is "partial 16S ribosomal RNA". It matches the Rfam family "Bacterial small subunit ribosomal RNA", at positions 340 to 524 of the family's 1533-position model. The record is from RNAcentral.